GAUCAUGGCUCAGGACGAACGCUGGCGGCGCGCCUAACACAUGCAAGUCGAACGAGCGAGAGAGAGCUUGCUUUCUCGAGCGAGUGGCGAACGGGUGAGUAACGCGUGAAAAACCUGCCUCAAAGAGGGGGACAACAGUUGGAAACGACUGCUAAUACCGCAUAAGCCCACGACCCGGCAUCGGGAAGAGGGAAAAGGAGCAAUCCGCUUUGAGAUGGCCUCGCGUCCGAUUAGCUAGUUGG
RNAcentral lists this ribosomal RNA (242 nucleotides) under uncultured bacterium. Its description in RNAcentral is "partial 16S ribosomal RNA". It matches the Rfam family "Bacterial small subunit ribosomal RNA", at positions 15 to 252 of the family's 1533-position model. The record is from RNAcentral.